AUACUCCGAAAAUUCACAAUUUUAUGAAAGAUAUGAUCAGGUACACCAGCGCAAAACAUGAAGAAAAAUUGAAUUUUCAUAGUUUCUAGACCAUUCGUGCAAGCAGAACACGACCACAAUACUUUAAGCACCAGACCACACAUCUUCUCAUAUGAUUCUCUCUCGCAAGAUACACCGUCACCACCAAAAUCUUUUUUUUUUCUGCGGGUACCAAAAGUCCAAAACGGGUAGUAGUUCAGAAGAAACAAAAAUACUAGUACAAGUAGAUCUAGUAUCAUCAUGGAGCAGAUUCGUUUGUGGCACCAGCAGGCGCAACAUCCGAGGUCCGAAGAGGCGCGCUCGUCCGCAGACGCUCUUUCCUGCCGCCGGCAGGCGGCGCGCAGCAGCACUUGUUGUCGGCAGGCACAUUCCUGUGGCCUUGGCAGGUGGCCUUGCCGGAAGGCCCGAUCAGCACCGCGCACAGGUGGGCACACGCCAAUCCUCCCUCGUUGCUGAAGCAGUUUGGGUACGGGCUGCACGACUCUGCACGUAGGAAAAAUUGCUUCAACAUUAGCUUUCAGGUUGGCGCAGAAAGAUAUGAAAUCCUCUGCCCACAAUGCGUAGUGCAAUCGCAAUACUAAAUAAUGAUAGAAAAGGAGGACUUUGACUAACGUUGUGCGUUAGAGGAGAUGAGGAGGGUGGCCGUGACGGCGAGGGCGGCCAAGCAGAUGAUCCUCGUGUUGGUCGUCUUCAUUGCUGCCAUGACCGCCGGUAUCUUCUUCUUCUUCGCUUGUUCUACGGGGCGGCAAUGCAAUGUGUUGGUGCGAUUCUGUUCUCCUGCUGCUGUUUAUAUAGAGGGAAAUACGUGCCCUUUUUACAUUCCUACGUAUAGCAUAAAUGCAAACCAUGUAUUUGGAAAGAAGUGACCAUCUUCUAAAAGAAGGAAAAUAAUGGGUGACCAAAGAUGGAAAACAUUUAUUAGGAACUAAAUGAUCAAUUUUUAGGAAGAGGCCCUCCUGCGUGGGCUUCAGCCUUUGGGUCCUCACGGCCUGAUUUCUGACCGGCCCACCAGACAGAAUGAGGAGGAGCCAGUUGCUAGUCACCCCAAAAAUUAAGUCGUGCGUGCGUUCAGACUUCCGAGUGGUGGACUGUGUGUAUAUGGGGGUUGCGUCUUCCAAAGCAAAACUUCUAGCCACCUAAAAAAAUAGUCACGGACCAGUUUAUCGCACUCACUCCAACACAACCACAAUGGGUGAGGCGGAUGCCAGCGAGACAACGACUGACGGUGUCCUGGACUAGGGGUACUCAUCACGUUGUCUCCUGAUCAGUUGGAUUGGGCCGAGGACCCCCAUGACCGUUUACUCAUGGGCCAGUUCGGACAGCCGAAGUAUACACGAGGAAGAUUCCACAAGACUUGGCGAUCAAGACAAGGACUCCUCUCCACCGACGUAUUCGGCUAGGACUCUUGUUAUCCUAGGCCUCGGGUACAUUAUAUAAGCGAAGGCCGGGCUAGUCGGUAGAUAUAGGCUAGAUCAUUAUGACAUUACUCAUCAUACCUCUAGGGUUUAGACCACAACAUAUGAUCUCGGGGUAGAUCAACUCUUCUAACCCUUAUGUUCAUUAUAAUCAAUCAAGCAGCAUGUAGGGUAUUAUCUCUUUAAGAGAGCCCGAAGCUGGGUAAAAUCCCGUGUUCAUGUUACCAUCGAUCCUAAGACGCACAGCUUGGGACCCCCUACCCGAGAUCCGCCGGUUUCGACACCGAUAAUGGUGCUUUCAUUGUGAGUUCCGCUGUGUGAUCGACAAAAGGAUCAAUGGCUUGCUUCUAGAUCAACUGCAACAUCGGCGUCUUCAUCGCUGGCUCGACUGGUCACCUCGGCUGGGCCGAGGACCAGGCUCCCCUUCGGAUCGUCAAGAUCGGACAUAUGUGCUCGUCAUCAUCAACUCCGAUUUCUAUCAAGAUCAUGGAGGAAUCAUCCAUGGAGCUCAGGGGCUCAACGUCAGCAUUGCCCUAGAGCGACCGCACUAUUUUUCUGGAUGGUAAACUUGUAUCUGCCACCACCGCUUCCUCGAGUGUCGCUUUAACGAUUGCUUCGGUGGAAUUGUGCGGAAUUAAGUAUAUAACAACCCUGCAAAAUUUUGUCGCGUUCCGAUGGAGGAAUCUCUGACGAUCUAUGAUAUACCGGAGCCCUGUCAAAUCUGGAAGGGAAUCCGGACGAGUUUAGGGCAUGAUCUCCAGAGCCCAGCUCGGAGGUCCUUUGGAAGAUCCAACCUUUCAUCUACUACGGAAUUCCCGUAUCUACCACCCUUCCAAAUUUCAGCUUGAUCCGACGGUUCAAACUCCGGGAACCUUCCAAUGAGUAGACCAAUUUUUGGAUUUGUUUUCUGCGCGAAUACGUAUCCAACCCGAACUCAUGUUUCUUUAUGAACAUGACAUUGGACAACCUUUUUAAAGGAAUUUUCUUCUGGCGUAUUGUGUAUUGUUCUUCAACACACGCCCAUAAAAUUUUAAGCCUCUUAUGAGGUAAUGUACGCCAUCACGCUGGUGUCAAACCAGUCCGGCAAUAUUGCUCCACGGCUGCCGACCUGCGUUAGACACGUCAUCAUUUUUUUGAGCCGAGCUCAACUUCUUCGGAUCCUCAUCUCGGCGAGCCGAACAAGAGUUCGGAAUCACCAAGGAUAAAUCGUCACCAACAUCGCCGCCCCACGGAUUACAUGGAGUGGGCACACCAGCAUCGUCGCAUGGUCACUUCAUCAAUAUCCGCAUUGAUCGCGUCACAAGUUACGACUUGCAUCGGCAUGGCCGCACUGUUGCUUUUUCAAGCCGAUCUCCAUCACGCCUAACUAUUUCAACACCUCAGCGGAUAUGACAGCUGCAACGUCUCCUUAACGACCUGCUCCGUUACCUCGGCUGGACCAGGGGCUUCACCUCAUCUUCGUCAAACCUACUCCGGUGACUUUGGCAUCACCAACCGACCGACCGCGUCACGUUAGCUGGACCGGGGGCUUCACCUCGGCAAACCAACCUUGGCUAGCAUAGCCAUGUUGUCGCUUCGUCGCCCAUCAGGCAAUGGGUGUGCGGAUCGAGUCCCAAUUUUAGGAGUCAUCUUCCUUCGGAUGGCUACAACAAAUAAAUCAGGUGCUAUUAAUCCUAGUAAUUUUUGCUUGUUCGGGUUAAUUUUUCCCGAAGAACUAUUACUCUGGUUUGUUCCAUCAUCUGUACACAGGUCUAUUAAAUGGUGGCCGCAUUAACGACGGUCAUGUGCUGGUUCGAUUAGUUUCCGUACACAGUUCGGCAAACGCCGCAUUCGGAACUCGGACGGCCCUGCAAAUUCAGGCUUUGUCACACCUUCACCGCAUCACGCCGACGCCCUGCAUCGACAUUGACUUCAGCGCCAGGCCACAUCUCUUUGAAUAAAUUAUUUUGCAUAAAUUAAUUACAUGAGGAUUUAUAUAUAUUAUUGUUGUUGGCAUGCACUAUUUUACAUGUGUAGGUAAUCGACUUUGACUGCGUCAUGUGGUCUCUUCGGCAAGCCGACACCAUCGUCCCAAUCGGUGUAAAUCGGCUCGCGUGAUCUCCUUGUUGGUUGUGUUGCCAUACCGACGUGUUCGGUUGCCGCGGAGACUUUGGCAUCGCCGAGAGAGCUCUACCUCAUCGAGUGUUCGGCGCACAGGCCUUAUUUCUUUUAUUAUUCACUUUGCAUAAAUUAUUUAUUAUGCAACAUUUUUUUAAUUUUUUUAUUAUUACUAUUAUCUCUGGUUUGCGAUAUUUUUUGUGCACAGGAGAAUGAUUCGGAUCGGGCAGUGUUGUCACCUCGGCGUACUGACAUCCACGUCACCUCGGCUGGACGGGGGGCUUCGUCAACACUUCAUUAACACACGCCAGGGGCUUCGGCGUCGCUCUGCCGGCCUACAUUGGCCAUGCUAUGUCACCACUUCGGAGUGCCAAGCUCUUGGCUCCGCCACCUCGGGACCGGCUCGGGGGCUCGGACUUUGUCCUGCAUCAAGCUUGGACCGCGUCAUCAAUUUCGAAUACAUUAACCAGCUAAGUCGCUUUCAUGCUCAAAAACUUUCAGUUUUAAAUUUUAUUCUGUUCGACCAAGCAUUAUACUUUUUUGGCAAAGGUUGUUUGUGAAAAACUUCCUUGUCAAAACUUUGCUUGUGACACACAAACUCAAAUACCCCGUUUACUUGGGGGCUUCCUUUAUGAAGCCUUUCCUCUUGCAAAUGAUUAUACUUGUACUACUUCGUUCCUUGUUCGUGUAUUACGCCACAAUAUGCACCAUGUUGACUUAAGCGAUUUGCGUGUUGGGUUGCCUGGCUCCUGUGUUUACCCCUAUGUUUCCAAUUGUUCAUCUAGGGAGUAAAGGGAGCACCUCUCGAUUGUCACGAUCGGGUCAUCCGAGCUCAGACCUCAGACUGGGUGAAGCCGAAAGCUAGCACUCUUAUUGUUUUCAAUAAUGGACGGCAAACAACGGAACUCAUGAGUACAAAAAAUCUAUUGCACAAGUGUCAUAGUAACUAUGAGCAACCAAAGAAAGGUAUCGGUGGAGGUACUAUUUUCUUCGAAGAUGCUUCUUACACUUUUCAGUAAUAUAGCAUAAGUUUCCUGAGCGUGCUUUGUCUGUUAUAGCCUUAUGGCCUGAUUGCGUGGUUAUCGGAAACACCGUCGAUAUUCUCGAUAGGUGGAGUACAUAACACUUUUCGGCCCUUGGCCAAAGAGGGAGAAGCCGACGGUCGGCUAAGACGCGUUUAUAGUUCGGGUGAACACAGAUAUGAUAUAAGUACUUCGGUGCAUACAAUCAUUAUACAUAAAAUUCUUUUACCCAAGUCACUCGGGGGCUCUUAAAUUUAUGUGAGCUGUUUUAUAAUAAGUGUUCUUCUUCUUAGUCAUUGCAAAGUCUUUUUUCUAUCACUCCUUUUUUUCGACGCGAGUGUGUGUUCAAUAGCCGGGGAGCCUAAUUUCUCUCUCAAAGCCGCUAAAGUUUGCUAAACUGGCCUAACGAGAAGUGCUCCGCCUUCGGGAUAGGAGGUUGAAGCCGUAGGCUGACCCGCUUGAAGUCUUGAGAUAUGAUAUGUCAUGUUGAAGCACGACAGAAGCAAAAAAAAAUUUCUAAGACCAAUUUCUGAUUGGCACCGAACAAUUGAUCUACUUCGGACGUCGAGUUUUUACUGACGUUUUUUGGUUUUCCAACCCUAUGGCACUUUUCAAUUAUUUGUGUGUUUUCCGGAUAAGUCUCGCAGUGCAAUGUCGGACACCUUUAGAGAUUCGGCAAAAAUUCUCGGAUAUUGCUAUAUAUGGAUCAGUUUCGAAUUGUGUUUUCGGUCAAUAGUUGGGUUCCCGGCUCCUGUGCUUGCCUCCUACGUUCUGCUUUGUUCGGCUAGGUGUGCAAAGGGAGAACCACUGCGAUUGUGCUUCUAGCUCGCAUGGUUAAGCACCUCAGUGGAGAAAGCAAAAAAUUGACUGUCACAAUAAGCGUAAAUUGGUCAGCGGUACAAUGGUUGUAUUAAAUGACGGGCCGUUCAUAACAUUGGCCGAAGUGUUUACGGCUUGACUUCGGCUGUCGCCGAACACUAACCGGGGCCAGAGGCGCAUAAUUUAUGAUUUUACUCUGGAUAUCGAUCCUCAAUUCGGCCACCCGUGUCCGCAUUAAGGCUCGGGGGCUACUGGGCUUCGGGCUUAUCAUUAUUUAUAAAUAUUAAAAAGGCACAUCGAUCCCCUGAUCUAGUGUUGCCACCCGACCAAUGUCUCGGGGGCUACUGCAUUGCCUAUUCAAUGCAGAACAUUUUAAGUGCAAUACAGUUUCCGAGGAGAUUAUGAUCCUCAGGUUGGUCGGCCGCACCCAACCUGAGUCUCGAGGACUGAGCACACCACUUUUUGUGUCCCGAAGUAUUCUGCCGAGCUAGGACUUGAUCCUCUGGCUGAUUUUGCGAAUUAACCUGAGUCUCAGAGGCUACUGGGAUCAACGGUCUUAUGUCAUCCUUCAGGUGCAUCUCGGGUUUUAGACCGAUACACACACCUUGAGGGCUACUGGCUAUAUAUCUCGGCAGAGAAUAAAUUGCACCAAUCAAAAAAUCAGCCCGCGGUCGGGGUGGUGCACCACCUCGAAAGCAGUCCGGCAUAAAACUCGGGCUCCAAUGGCUGGCUCCAUAGAGGGCAUUUCCGGCACUAAGCUCGGCUAAACUCCUUCAAACUUUUUUGAACCAAGGUGAUCUACGACACCUCGGAUACAGUCCGGCGUUGGAGCUCGGACAUAGUCCGGUAUUAGAGCUCGGAUACAAUCCGACGUUGGAGCUCGGAUACAUUCCGGCGUUGGAGCUCGGAAGCGGUCCAGCGUUGGUGCUUGGCUGCAAAAGAUACGUCGAAUGCAGUCCGGCGUUGGAGCUCGGAUGCGAGAGGACACCGCCGCACGGGCAACACUUCAACCCCGAAGCAUGGCAUGAAAAUAACAAGGCAUUGUUAAAGGCUGAAGACUUAAAGGGCUCCUCGGAUACCCGACGUGUAAACUCUUCGGAUACACUUUGUCGAUCCUCAAGAUUAUAGAUGAGAAGAUUUAUUGAACCCGUUUUCAAGACCGACGACCGAAGAUGAAGAACAGUUCGGAAGAAUCGAGGAGCGUCUCCAACUUGAAGACCAGUUCAGGGGGCUACUGACGGUGUCCUGGACUAGGGGGUACUCACCACGUCGUCUCCCGAUCAGUUGGAUUGGGCCGAGGACCCCCAUGGCCGUUUACUCAUGGGCCAGUUCAGACAGCCGAAGUAUACACGAGGAAGAUUCCACAAGACUUGGUGAUCAAGACAAGGACUCCUCUCCACCAGCGUAUUCGGCUAGGACUCUUGUUAUCCUAGGCCUCGGGUACAUUAUAUAAGCCAAGGCUGGGCUAGUCGAUAGAUAUAGGCUAGAUCAUUAUGACAUUACUCAUCAUACCUCUAGGGUUUAGACCACAACAUAUGAUCUCGAGGUAGAUCAACUCUUGUAACCCCUAUAUUCAUUAUAGUCAAUCAAGCAGCAUGUAGGGUAUUAUCUCUUCAAGAGAGCCCGAAGCUGGGUAAAAUCCCGUGCUCAUGUUACCAUCUAUCCUAAGACGCACAGCUUGGGACCCCCUACCCGAGAUCCGCCGGUUUUGACACUGACAACGACCACCGCCAAAUUCUCAUCUACCCUUCUUCCCCCGCAACGAUGUCUUCUUCCGUCCACUUCUUCCGUGCCGCCUCCCAGGCUCCCAUUGUAGCAUGACUCCUCAGGCCCUCUCCUCAACAACCCCAUCUUGGCAACCGCCACCAUCCAGUGUAGGUGUCCUACACCAACCCCUAAGGAGGCGAGUUCACACCACCCUGAAAACACCGCCAAAAUCCUUUCUUGUGGGCUCCGAUGGGAAAGGCCUACCUCCUCAGGCCCUCCCCAAAAUCUCUUCUCCACAAUCCCAUCUGGGCCACCAACGCCUUUCAAUGUAGGAUUGUCCUGCACCUCCCCCCGAGGAGGCGAGUUCGCACUACAAUGCAAACAUUGUCGGAAGCACCUCCCGUCGGUGGCGAAGCUUGACAAAGCUGGCUAGGUGGGCAAAACACCAAAUCUGAAUUUUGUAGGGGGAGAAAUACAGUAGUAUCUCUAAUAUAUGCUUUUUCUGAUAAUAUUUCUUCACAAAUGUGCAUAACUUGGGGGAGGGGGGGCACGCCCCCCCCUCCCCCCCACUCCUGUUACAGUAAGCUCCGCCAGUGCCUCCUGUGGGCUUUGACAGAAAUGAAGUGCAUGAUGGGAGGGCAGCGAUGGAGUCGUGAAGAGGGAGGAGACGAGGAUGAAGAGGGGGGAAGCAUGGGUUUUUACCUGAGUGGGUCAAGAUGACAAUGGAGGACGGAAAGAUGGUCUUGCUCACCAUCACUAUCUCCCUCGCCUUCUAUGCUUUUCUCGUCGAGCCGCAGUUCAUCCAUUCGCUCUCCAUGUUUCCGGCGUACGACAACAUAACUAUCCAUCAGAAAAAUAGUCUAGGUUAGCAAAUUAAGUAGGUUGUGUACAAUCAAAGAAAGACUACUAAGCUAAAAAAAUGGACUCUUUUCCCAUGUUUUAAAUUGUUGGUAGAUUUUAAUAUUGUCUCAAAAUCUAUGGAGCACCCUACACAUUCAUAUCUAGAGUAAUAUGAAGUGGAAUGUAAAACAUGUCAGUGCAAUGGUAAAGGAGUAGAGUUGAGAGAAUCACAAACAUAAUAGGCUCGGUAACGUUUUUCCUCGUGGAUUGGAUAGUUGGCGCUAUCUUACAUCCAUCAAGGCUUCAUUCCAAGAAAUAUCUAGAAUCACAAAGGAUUCUGGUUGCGAGAUUCCAUAAAGGAACAGUCCACGGAGGAACUCACCCACAAAGGGUCCACUUAGGAGCAACCUACCUAUUUCACCAUGGCUUACGCCCACGAAGGACUAGCCUCACUAGGGUAGAUCUUCAUGAAGUAGGCAAUCUCUGGGCCGUACAAACUUCUUGGCUUCUUCACAAACUCGAAGGCUUCCAAGUACACCUAGCCAAUCUAGGAGGCACACACCCUUCACAAAGUCCAACUCCUCUCUACAUACAUCUUGUUCUCCAUAAAUGGGGUUUGUUCGAAAGAGAGAUAAAAUAAUAAGGUUUAGUACGUAUAAAAGCAAGGCUUGUCGCUCAAUGGUUCACUCAACAACGUUGUAGAUUUUGGGGGUACUUAUUCCCCUGGUCAUGGAUGAAAUUACAUUUAGAUACUUGAUCUCAAUGAUAGUAAAUAUUGGCUUGAAAAUUAAAUUAAGGGAUGUUGUCACCGCUUACCUAUAUGGUAACUUGUAUUCUAACAUAUUCAUAAAGGUCCCUGUUCUGAACCAGGACAGAGCAAACAUGGGUCUACACAGUGUUCAACUUAAAAACUCGCUAUACGGACUUGAACAUUGUGGUAGGAUGCGGUAUAAUCACUUAAGCGAUUACCUUCAUCAGAAGGGCUACACGAGCAAUGAAUAUUGCACAUGUGUUUUUAUAUGCCGAACCCAAGAUGGAUUCUGCAUAAUCUCCGUGUUGGUAGAUGAUUUAAACAUAAUCAGUACACCUAAGGAUAUUGAGGAACCGAGUUCCUACCUGAUGUUGGAAUUCUAGAUGAGGGAUUUGGGUAAACCAAAUUCUGCGUGGGACUGCAACUUGAACAUUCCCCUAAUGGGAUUCUAGUCGACCAACACCUAGAAGGUGUUCAAAGAUUUGGAUUUGACAAGUCAUAUCCUUCUAAGACCCUGAUGAUCAGGAGAUCUUUGCAGCAAGACAAGGACCAAUUCAGGCCUAAGGAAGAGGAGGUGAAACUCUGGCACCAGAAUUUCCUACCUCAUGUACCUCAAAAAUUGUACACAAUCGGACAUUGCGUUUGUAGUCAAUUUUAUUGCCAGGUAUGAUUCCGAGCCUACCAAGAUACACUGGAAAGGCUUCAAGGAAAUCUUCUAUUACCUUCAAGGGACCAAAGAUCUUGGUCUGUUUUAUAGAAGGAAUCAAGACCUAUCACUAAUGGCUAUGUCGAUGUUGGGUACCUGUCGAACCCGCAUACUUCUAAGUCACGGACUGUAUGUGUUUUCCUUUGUGGUGGAACUAUAUUUUCUAGAAAUUGUCCAAACAAAGUCUUGUAUCAACUUCCUUGAACAAGUUGGAAAUCAUAGCACCAUAUGAAGCAUCAUGAGAGAGUGUGUGUGGCUUCAACGGAUGAUUGAACAUGUUCGGUAGACGUGUGGGCUGAACACCAUACAAACCCCUACCAGUAUCUAUGAAGAUAAUGAUGCUUGUGUUGCAAAAGUUCAGAUGGGUUAUGUGAACGAUAACCUCAUAAAACAUAUUAAUCCCGAGGUCUUCUAUGCACAUGAGCUGUAGAAGAUGAACUAGGUGAGAAUCUUGCACACUAAGUCAUUUGACAAUCUUGCUGGUUUGUCCAUUAAAUCAUUACCAACAUCAUCCUUCGAGAGAUGUGUGCCUUGAAUCGAUAUGACGAGACUUAGGGAGAUGCAAGGAUCAGGGGGAGAAACUUCACAAACUCAAUGUUCGGUGGAUUGUACUCGGUUUCCCUUGAGUGAGUUUUCCAUAUACUUCUCGCACGAGGUUUUUGAUAAGGCAAUUCCUGCAAUACAACAACGUAUACUAUGCGCUCUUUCUCCAUAUAUCUUUUCCACUAGGUUUGUCAAAAUUUUGUGGCAUGGAUAUACGGAUAAUCACCUAAUGGGGUAGGGGGUGUUGGGAAACUUGGGCAUUGGAUGGAGACCAUUAAGGGCCAAGUUCCUCCACUUAAUGUAAAAGUGGGCACUUAUCCCCCACCCUAGUUCUAUGAAGAGGAGAGCACCAAAUUAUAAGUACAAUUGAUGAUCAUCCUAUAAAGACUCCCCUCUACUCUAUGUCAACUUUACUUUCUGUAUCUUGGCCUCUGAUCGAAAACUUCGUCUAUGAUGCUCCCCCUCCGCAACGCUUGGACCGAACUCGCCGGCAGAGGUUGCGUAACACGCAUCACCAACUCCAUCCAUCUCUUGUACAUCGUGCAUCCCCCCGCCCCCACCCCACCCUCUCCCGCUCAUCCAACCACCAGAUCCACACUAACUCACCUCCUCUGCCGACACGACCGCCGCAUCCAGGGUGCAAUCUUCCAACCUUAUGUCCCUAUCCCCUUCUCGAGCGACCACCACACCAUCAUUUUUUUACAAAGGGUGUAUUUUAUUGGCUCAAAAUGAAGCAUCAAGAGAAUACAAGUACAAUAGCACACACUGCCACACCAUCUUAAAGCUCCAUCUAACCAUGGGCCAUAAGGCCUUGUACAAUGCAAGGUAGUUAGGGAGGUGCUUAGAGAAAUAAACCAGUCAUUCCUUAAGCACCGGUGCUUAUUUGUACAGGAUAGACGCUUAAUUAAGCGUCUCUCCUACAGAAAUAGGCACCGAUGCUUUAAAAAAACUCAAUUUAUUUUUUUAAGCACCUAGCAUUGUACAAGGCCUAAGAAGCCACGCCGGCACCGCUCAAUCACAACAAUAUAUAGCCCUUGCCGAAGCUUCCCCAGUGAAGAAGCAGGUGCUCAAGCACCCGAGGUGUGGAAGCAUGUUCCCAGGCUCCCAUGGUUUUUGCUCCACUCACCGCGUCUUUCCAAAAUCAACGUAAUAGCUAGAACACAUCGUAAAUAGGCAAUGCGGCAGGAGCACCCGAGGUGUGGAAGGAUGUCACGCAAUAAUCCAAGUGCAUCCGUCUUUUGAUGCAGUUAGUUAUCCUAUCAUGUAACACAACAAAGAAUAAAAAGUUAAAAACAGCAACAAAGACCAGCACGGCCGGCAUGGUUAGACUAUUAGCGAGAUGCAAAAGGACAUUAAGGUUACACAGAUUGUGUUCUCUUUACUUGCUGGCGAAAUAUCAGCAGAAAAGUAGGGACUAAGAGCAACUCCAACAAUUCCUUAGAAAACUUCCCGUAAGAGCUUUUCCAAGGAUGUCUAUAAAUUUCAUGGGAAGUUUCCCGAAGGCUACUUUUGUGAGAUCCCGUAAAACAUAUUCCCCUAAAUCUAUUUUUAUUGCUCCUGCUACUACGCAUCAACCGACUGAUUUCCAGGGAAAUCAGUCGGGUGCAGGGCCGUCGGAUCGCUGUGAUCUGGACGCAGCGUGGCCACCUAAUUUAGUCGGCGCACUAGUGGAGAAGUCACGAGCGCUAGCGUGGUGUAGAUCACAAUACAGCAAGCACCUUGCUGGGAAGCACUGCCGGCGCUGCGUUCAACGUCUGGGCCUCGUAGCUGAAGUGCUCCAACUCCAACUGAGCAUGCUGCACACAUACCAUGUGACUCCGACGAGCAGCCAAGCGCGACCAGCUCGUAGAAAAAAUGCCGGCGAGCUCGCCACGAGCAAGCAUGCUGCAACGCAAAGAUCCAGGUGACUCCAUGGAGUGGCUCGCAUCCAGGUGACUCCAUGGAGUAGCCGAGCCGGGUCAGCUCGUAGAAACGACGGAGAGCAACCCUCGGCGACAUCUGCAGUGGCGGUCAGAGAGCCGGCGACGCUCCACCGUAGCACCAACGUCUGCGUGCGAUGCUCCAUCGCUUCACUAGCAAUGCUCCGGGGGCUCGUCGAUGCUCCACCAGAAUACCUAGUCAUGCUCCAUUGCAGUGUCGCCAAGCUCCGGCAGCCCGACGAUGCUUCGGUGGCUCGUUGAUGCUCCAUCGAGGCGUCACCAUGCUCCGGUGGCCCAACGAUGCUCCAUUGCCGCGUCACCAUGCUCCGGCGGCACAACAAUGCUCCGGUGGCUCAUCGAUGCUCCAUUUCAGCGUUGAUGCUCCAUCGCGGCGUCGCCACGCUCCGGCUACUCGACGAUGCUUUGGUGACUCGUCGAUCCCCAUUGCAGNNNNNNNNNNNNNNNNNNNNNNNNNNNNNNNNNNNNNNNNNNNNNNNNNNNNNNNNNNNNNNNNNNNNNNNNNNNNNNNNNNNNNNNNNNNNNNNNNNNNNNNNNNNNNNNNNNNNNNNNNNNNNNNNNNNNNNNNNNNNNNNNNNNNNNNNNNNNNNNNNNNNNNNNNNNNNNNNNNNNNNNNNNNNNNNNNNNNNNNNNNNNNNNNNNNNNNNNNNNNNNNNNNNNNNNNNNNNNNNNNNNNNNNNNNNNNNNNNNNNNNNNNNNNNNNNNNNNNNNNNNNNNNNNNNNNNNNNNNNNNNNNNNNNNNNNNNNNNNNNNNNNNNNNNNNNNNNNNNNNNNNNNNNNNNNNNNNNNNNNNNNNNNNNNNNNNNNNNNNNNNNNNNNNNNNNNNNNNNNNNNNNNNNNNNNNNNNNNNNNNNNNNNNNNNNNNNNNNNNNNNNNNNNNNNNNNNNNNNNNNNNNNNNNNNNNNNNNNNNNNNNNNNNNNNNNNNNNNNNNNAUGCUCCAACGCGGCAUCGCCAUGCUCCAGUGGCUCAUCGAUGCGCCAUUGCAGCUUUGAUGCUCCAUCGCGGCAUCGCCAUGCCCCCCAGGUUUGACGAUGCUCUGGUGGCUCGUCGAUGCUCCAUCGCGGCGUCGCCAUGCUCCAGCGGCCCGACGAUGCUGCAUCACGGCGUCGCCACGCUCCGGUGGCCCGACGAUGCGGUGGCUCGUCGAUGCUCCAUCGCGAUGUCGCCAUGCUCCGGCAGCCCGACGAUGCUCCGGUGGCUCGUCGAUGCUCCAUCGCAGCACUAGUUCAUGCUCCAUUGCAAUGUCGCCAUGCUUCGGUGGCUCGUCGAUGCUCCAUUGCAGGGUCGGCAUGCUCCAGUGGCCCAGCAAUGCUCCACCGCAGCAACGCGGCCUGGCGAAGCUCCAUGACAGCACCGAUGACUCACGGGAGUGUUGCUGUUAGGGGCCUGAUCUAGAUCAAGAGGGGAAGGAGGUAGGUGGGGGAUUUCUUAGAGAAGAAGGAUGCCCGGAAGGAGAAGUACAACUUCUCUCUUUCGUAUAUUCGAUUACAAUAAUUCUUGAUGCCUCUGAUCGAUGCCCAACUGGCUACUUAACAACCCACCAACCCACACCGGUCCAGCUGGAGCGCUCACGCGACGAAGGAUCCACCCAGCUUCUCUACCCCGGUGACCCCACACGUCAGUACUGGUUCCUUGGCGAGGGCCUGCCCGUCAGUCGUGACAUUCCCCCCUCCUUGAGAACCGCCUUGACCCCAAGGCGGUGUCGAUGGAAACUUCUCUUGAAGCUUCACUGGGUCUUCCCAAGUAGCCAGGUUAGUCGGCAGGUCGCUCCAUUGUAUCAGGGUGCGGAGCUUCAUCUCGCCUUGGGAGCGAACCAUCUUGCACUCCAACACCUAGCUGGGAGAGUGAGAUGCCUGCAAAACAGAGUCAGAUGGAGGUAAUUCUGCACUGACUGGAACUGUCGUUCCCACCGCUUUCUUCAGCAAUGACACAUGAACCACUGGGUGAAUCUUGCUGGUUUCUGGCAAGUCGAGGCGAUACGCCACUGCACCUACUUUGGCUUGAAUGACGUACGGUCCAUAGUAGCGAAAAGCCAGCUUCUGAAACGGCCGCCUCGCAACCGAAGUUUGAAUGAAGGGUUGUAGCUUAAGUAACACAGCGUCGCCCACCUCAAACGACCGGUCCGUACGGUGAUGGUCUGCCUGUUUCUUCAUACGGUCCUAAGCUUUCCUCAGCUGCUGUUGCAGGUGGUCCAGCAAGAUCUCGCGCUCCUGCAACCAUGCUGCCAGGUCCGGCACAGUGCUGCCGUCCACCUGAUCGAUACCGAACUCACGUGGCAGUUGCCCAUAGAUCACCUCGAACGGGGUGCGCCCUAACACCGAGUGGAAACUGGUAUUGUACCAAUAUUUCGCCAACGAGAGCCACUUUGACCAGUUUCCCGGGCAGGAGUGCACCGAACAACGCAAGUACGUCUCCAGGCACUGGUUGACUCUCUCAGUUUGCCCGUCCGUUUGCGGAUGGUACGAAGAACUAAUCCGCAGUUCGGUUCUGCACAGUCGAAACAGCUCCUGCCACACCUGACUCGUGAAGACGCGGUCUCUGUCCGAGAUAAUGCCCAAUGGCAUCCCGUGGAGUCUGUAAUCUCAUGCAUGAAGGUCUUAGCAAUGUCAAGGGCCGUGAACGGGUGCUUCAAUGGCACAAAAUGUGCAUACUUGGAGAAUUUGUCGACCACUACCAGGAUAGCGUUAUAGCCACCUGAUUUGGGCAAGCCUUUGAUAAAGUCAAGGGAUAUCACAGCCCAGGGCCUUUUUGGAAUAGGAAGUGGCUGAAGCAACCCGACCGGUGAGACUCUCUCCGUCUUGGCUUGUUGACAGGUCAGGCACUGCUUGACGAACUCUUUCACUUGCUGUUUCAUUCCCUUCCAUGCAAACAAGCAUUUGAUAAGGUUAUAUGUUGCUUGAAAUCCCGAAUGCCCCCCCCCCCGUGGCACUGUCAUGCAGCAACCUGAUGACAUGUUGUUGUGUGUCAGUGUCCGGUCCCAGCCAAACACGCCCUUUGAAUCUCAACACCCCUCCUUGAAGCUGAUAAUCUGGUUCAACACUUGGGUUCAAUGCUACCCGCGCUAGCAAUUCUUUUGUGGCAGCAUCCUCUUGGUACCCUGCUCGAACUGCUUCUAGCCAGACUGGUUUGCACACUGACAAGGCUGCCAACUCUGCAUCCUGCCCGUGUUCUUUUUUGGAUAAUGCGUCUGCUACUCUGUUCGAAAUACCUGCUUUGUAAUGGAUCACAUACUGCAGCCCGAGAAGUUUCGUAAACACUCGCUGUUGGAUGGGUGUGUUCAAGCGUUGGUCGGUCAGAUGCAGGAGACUUUUUUGGUCUGUGCGCACUACAAACUCUGCAUGUUGUAAGUAUGGGCGCCAGUGGUCAAUAGCUAGGAGCAAGGCCAAACACUCCUUCUCGUAUGCUGACAGCCCCAGGUUGCGAGGGGGGGGGGCAAGGCUCAACUGAGGUAAGCUACUGGGUGGGAAUCCUGCAUCAGCACUACGCCUAUCCCUGUUGCACUGGCAUCGGUUUCUAUCAUGAACGUUUUGGAGAAAUCUGGCAGCGCCAGCACAGGUGCCUCAAUCAAAGCUUUCUUGAUAGCACAAAAUGCAGCGUCCGUUGUGGGCGUCCAGACGAACACCACGCCUUUGCGCAAUAAAUCCGUUAGCGGCUUGCUAAUGAUCCCAAAGUUUCUAACGAACUUACGGUAAUACCCUGCCAAUCCAAGAAACCCUCGUAGCUUCUUCACUGUAUCAGGCACCGGCCAAUCCCUCACGUUGCUCACCUUGGUGUCGUCAGUUGUUACUCCUUGCUCACUUAUCACGUGUCCCAAGUAGCUGAUUUUCUCUAAGCAAAGGCACACUUGGACCGUUUGGCGUAGAACCCGUUCUGUUGCAACAAUUCCAGCACUCGCGACAGCAAACUCACAUGUUUCUCCAAGGUUCUGGAAUGAACAAGAAUGUCGUCCAUGAACACGAGGACUCCAUCUUGCAGCACGGGCAACAGCACUAUGUUCAUGGUACCCUGGAAGGUAGGGGGCCCGCCUGUCACACCAUAUGGCAGCACCCGAAAUUGAAAGUGGCCAUGGUGGGUCUUGAAAGCCGUUUUGUGCUCGUCCUUUGGCAACAAUCUGAUCUGAUGGUAGCCUGCCCGGAGAUCUAGCUUCGAGAACCACGUGGAACCUGCCAAUUCAUCCAAGAGCUCGUCGAUCACCGGCAUUGGAUAUCUUGACUUGAUGGUUGUUGCAUUGAGGUGUCGAAAGUCGACGCAAAAUCUCCAAGUCUGAUCCUUCUUUUUGACCAAAAGUACCGGAGAAGAAAACGGGCUUACACUGGGUGUGAUAAGCCCUAGCCUCAGCAUCUCUUUCACUUGUGAUUCAAUCUCAUUUUUCUGCCCCGGAGUGUAACGAUAUGGCCUAAGGUUCACUGGUUUCGCGCCUGCCACCAAAGGAAUGGCGUGAUCCCAUGGUUUCCGUUGGGGAAGUCCUGACUGCUCGUCAAACACCACUUGAAACUUGUCCAGGACGCGCUGGAUAGAAGCCGAAAGAGCUUCCUGUUGUUCCUUUUGCUCAGACAAACAAAGCAUCACUACCCCAACGAUUGCAUUCUCCUGUUCCAUUUGCUCCAAUUGCUCCACUGAGAUUUGUGCUGGUUGCUGAACCUCCUGGCGUAACCCUUGCAUCUGUAUCAGCUGCCCUUGGUGAUGGAACUGCAAUGUUUUCUCAGUCCAAUCAAUCAACAUUGGUCCACAACUUUCCAACCAGUCCAUGCCUAUAACCAUGUCAUAGCAGCCCAGAGGAAGCACUCGCAGAUCAGAACUGAAUUUGUGCUGUUGCGCCUGCCACUGACAUUCUGGGAUGUAUCCGGAACAAGUGAGUUUUCCACCAUCUGCCACUCUGACUGUCACCGGCUUCAGUUUGCAAAUGCGAUGGGCAAGGCGCUCCGCGACUUACUCGCUGAUAAAACUAUGGGAACUGCCUGAGUCAACCAAUAUCAGAACUUCUUGCUUGUCAAUGCGCCCUAACAAACGGACCGUGCGAGGCGUGGUUUGCCCUGUGGUGGCCAGCUUCGAGAUAGACAUAAGUUGUUCCUCCUGCUCUUCCUCCUCCACCCGCUCCUGAUGAUCGUUCCCCUCAGCUUGAAGCAAAUCCAGUAAUUCUUCCACUACGUGGAGCUGAACCGUGGCGGCACACUGGUGGCCCUGGCCCCAGCGUUCCCCACAUUUAAAGCAGAGCCCUCUUGCUCUGCGGUAGUUGCGCAACGCCGCCAUGCGAUCGUCGCCCCGUCCCUGAUCAGGUCGCCGCUCUGCUGCGUGCGCUCCUUCAACGCCACGCCUGUCCUCUGCUGCGGCUGGUGGAGGAGGCGGCACAGCACGCGGUGGAGGCGCUGCCAGCGCCAGCAGAGGUCGCUGCUGAACACGCCUAGGUUCCGGGUGCCUGAAUUCCUUGCGAGGCAUCGCGUCCAAUAUCUCCUCCUGUAACAGAGACAAGGAAAAGGCAGUAUCCAAAUCUUGGGGUCGAUGUAACGCAACACCUGCUCUAAUUUCCACACGCAACCCAUCUAGGAAUUUGGUGGUGAAAUAUACUGGAUCAAACCCAGAAUUGUGGGCUAAAAUCUGAUGCAUGAACUCCUCAAAGCGUGCCAUGUAUUCCGACACUGUCCCUGUCUGACUAAGCGCUGCAAAUUGACGGAGCUGCGCCUGGUACUGGUCGCGUACGAAUUUGCCGCACAGAGCAGUGCAAAGCUCCCCCCAAGUGAAGACUGUGUACCUUGUUCGUGCAAUUGCAACCAACGCGUUGCAUUGCUUGUAAAGUGCAGCAUAGAGACCCGCACCCACAUCUCUUUGGGAAUUUCGUACACAUCGAAGUACUUUUCGCAUUUGGAUCUCCAGAAUUGUGGGUUUUCCCCAUCGAAUUGCGGAAAAUCCAACUUCGGUAGGACCCAACGAGUCUGGUGCGAGUGGUGGUACUCCUCCUCUGGAACACGACUCAACUCUAAGCUGCGGGAACUGGAAUUUAUGACAGGAGGAGAUAACGCACCCUUGACCAGAGGCGGUGCCAGGGUGGUGACCACCCCGUGUACCAUGCCCCCGGAGUUGUUGAUGACGCCGUGGCCACUUGGCCCGUGGUGCCCCGGUUCGGGCGCCGGGGGCUCCUCCCCAGUGCGCGCCGCUUGCCGGAGAUCCACCACUUCCCGUGCGAGAUCCGCUUCCGCGCUCGUCGGAUCUGCCAGCGCGGGGUGGAGGGCGAUGCGCCCCACUUGGGUGCGGAGCUCGUCGAGCUGAUUCUGCAGGUUCGUCACCGCCGGGCGCCAUAGCUCGAGGGAGGUCUGAAUCGCGUCCAGACGAGCGUCGUUCGCCGCGCGGCCCUCCUUGACCGAUUGGAUGAGCGCUGCGAGCUGCUCUUCCAUGGCCGCCGUCUUCAACGCCUGCUUGGCGGUGUAGCGUGGUCGGGGGUAUGCCGUCUCCAGGUCGCCGGAUCGCUGGACCUCUGAUACCAACUGUUAGGGGCCUGAUCUAGAUCGAGAGGGGAAGGAGGUAGGUGGGGGAUUUCUUAGAGAAGAAGGAUGCCCGGAAGGAGAAGUACAGCUUCUCUCUUUCGUAUAUUCGAUUACAAUAAUUCUUGAUGCCUCUGAUCGAUGCCCAACUGGCUACUUAACAACCCACCAACCCACACUGGUCCAGCUGGAGCGCUCACGCGACGAAGGAUCCACCCAGCUUCUCUGCCCUGGUGACCCCACACGUCAGUACUGGUUCCUUGGCGAGGGCCCGCCCGUCAGUCGUGACAGUUGCCGGCUCUCACGCCCUUGCAGUAGCGAGGGACAUCCGUUGGCUGCCUUUGCAGCACCCUGGUGGCACCCUCUUGUUGCGCCGACGAGCCUCAAAGCUCUGCGUCACAGCAGUGGUUUGUGCUCCGGCGAGGCCUUGCAGCACCUUGGGCGUCAUCCGCCUUGAAACGUUGGUCCUCAUCCCGAUGUGGCCGUGCAGCAAUGAUGACCAGGGACUUGGGCUGGCAACGGCGGUCGUUUGAACACGGGUAGCAGCAGGGGAUCCUGGUUUGCUGUGGUGUGAGAUCGAUGCUUGCAGUAGGAACGUGGCAGCGGCGGCGGGAACUGAGUGGGAGAGAGAGAGAGACGAGAGACAUGAGCUGCAGCGUCGCCUUGCAGCGGCAGUGACCAGCGAGUCCGGCUUGUAACGGCAGCAGCAGAGGAUAUCGGUUUGCGGUGGCGACAUAGGUGCCUACAGCAGGGCCGGCAGCAGCGACGGAGAAACUGAUAGGCAGAGAAAGACAAGAGAGAUGAGUAGAAGCGGGCGCAUCGAAAAGUUUCUGGCGGUUACCUUGCUGCCAAAAGUGUACGCGGGGCAAAACUUUCCCUAAACCUGAAAGAAUUUAGGGCCAAGUUUACAGGAUAUCUAUUGGAGUCAUUUUAUUCCAAACCUUCUCCCAAACGGUAGUUUUUUUACGGUACGGGGUCUGUUGGAGCUGUUUACUGCUCUAAUAUCACCAUGUGGCUACGUAUUGUGGUCCCAAUUAAUUGAUCAAAACAAUAGCAGGUAGACUGACCCCACUGCAAUAGAUUUGACCCUGAAGCAUAAUUGGUACUCCCUUCGUUCCUAAAUAUUUGUCUUUCUAGACAUUUCAACAAGUGACUACAUACGGAGCAAAAUGAGUGAAUCUACACUCUAAAAUAUGUCUACAUAUGGAUGUAUGUAGUAGUCCAUUUAAAAUGUCUAGAAAGACAAAUAUUUAGGAACGGAGGGAGUACUGGGUAGUCGGAAUGCUUCAUGAGAACAGGUUGAAGCUAAUGCAAAAAAAAAAGAGCAUCUGAGAUCGAGGUCGAGAAAAGAAUCAGAGCAGAAUUUUUUUUGAGGUUAAUAGGAUGGAUUCUUAACUACUAAUCCAGUGGACAUUAAAAUAAGUAAUUGAUGGGCAGAUUUAGUUCACAGAAAACAUUAAAUUACGAAGGUCAAAGCAUUUGUAUUGGUGUUUUAUGUCGUACUAAGAAUAUCUCUAUAACAGAAUAAUAUCAGGCCGCGCAAGAUUGCACUCCAUUAUAGGGCAAGAUGAGUUGAAAGUUGAAAGCAUAUUUACCACACUGAGAAUAUAAAAGCAUGAAACGCACCCAUACGUCACAGAAAGCUACAUCUGUCGUAAGGAAAUAAAAUCAUUGCUCCUUUUACGAGAUCUUAGUCUUAUGCAAAUGACUUGGACGGUAAGAAUUUUGAAGGGAGAGUUUUGGAGAGAAUCUCUAUAGUUGAUUGAUAAUCUUUACAACAUUUGUAUGAACGAUACGAUAUAUCCCGCAAAUUCACAAUUUUAUUAGGUAUUCAGGCGCAAAACACUAUUUUUUUCCUUCUAAAUUUCAUACUUCCAGACCACAGGCACAAAACACGAUCAUAACAGUCUAAGCAGCAGAUCACACACACACUCUCUCUCUUUCUCUCUCCCUCUCUCUCUCUCUCUCUCUCAAGCAACACUAUCUGACUAUAUAUCACCACCAAAACGUGCGCUAGUACAGAAGAAAUAAAGAUACUACUACUAUCACUCUAUCAUCAUCAUGGAGCAGCUUCGUUUGUGGUGGCGGCGGCGGCGGCAGCAGCAUCCGAGGUCUGAAGAGGCGCGCUCGUCCGCAGCCGCCCCUUCCUGCCGCC
This 20508-nucleotide long non-coding RNA is filed under the name Triticum aestivum (bread wheat). RNAcentral's name for it is "long non-coding RNA (TAES_LNC017083)". The record is from RNAcentral. Lineage: Eukaryota; Viridiplantae; Streptophyta; Magnoliopsida; Poales; Poaceae.